UUCCUUUCAUACCUAAUAACUCAAUCAUAAAACAAAGGUCAUAGUUCAAUAAUUUCAUAUGGGCCUAAAAUGAAUGCAAUUUCCAAAAGUAGUUACUUGCAUUCAAGUACUCUAGCUGAACCUUGAAAAUACAUAACAAAAAGAUGAGGAUUAUAACUGUUGAAUAUACAGCUGUUGUUUACGUAUAAACUAUUCAUGAACUGCUAUAUGCUGCAAGGAAAGUAUUUCAUAAAGAAAACUGUCACACUCCAUAAAGCCACUUACUAACUUUAGUGACGUAACCUGUCACGUUGCUCAUAUAGUUACUGCAAACACCACCCUCAGUUUACUCAGCUGAAUAAUAAUACUACUGCAAGUAAAGCGUAUAGGAACACGAUUAAUUUCGAAUUUUACCAUUUCAGUCUCGUAUCGCUAGCGGCACGAAGCAGCGGAGGUUCAAAACAUGGAAGACAAUAACACAGAAACUGAGGAACCGAACGAUGAUCCGCCAGGAUACUAUGAAAACUAUGAAUACUCAUCGGCUUGUGAGAAUCCUACGAUAUCUGAACAUCCCGAAUAUCCUGGAAAUCCACCACUACCAGUAUACCAGUCGCAACCCCCACCACCCGAAUACCAGUCACAACUACCACCACCCGGAUACUCGUCACAACCACCACCACCACCACCACCACCACCCGAAUACACGUCACAACCACCACCUGAUUACUAUUCCCUCUAUCCAGAACUACAACGGCCAGAACUACAACAGCCAGAACUACAACAGCCAGAACUACAACAGACAGGACUACACCAGCUACAACAACUAUGGACUAAUGUUCAGGCAACAACAAAUCACCAAAGGUUUCUUGUAGUGCCUUCUCCUGUGACUCACUGUGACAAUACUCUCCUUAGAAUGCGAGCUGUACGCAACAAUGCUGUCUUCUGCAUCACUUCGAGCCUGACAGCAGCACCAAUAUUCUUAAUAUGCAUUUCAAAGCUCUUGGAAACUGCUCCUAAUGCACCAGUUACCACCGAGACAAAACUACGAAUCACAACACGUUAAAAGUAAGAUGAGCGAGGCAAUUUGUGUCACAUUGUUCUGCUUUUUUCCAACAGGACUUGCUGCGAUUUUUUUUGCAUAUAGAGCGGUGAGCUGGCAGAAUCGGUAGCAAGCUGGGAAAAAGGUUUAGCGGUAUUUCGUCUGCUGUUACGUUUUGAGUUUAAAUUCCGCCGAGGUCGACUUUGCUUUUCAUCCUUUCGAGAAAGAUUAUGCGAAGGCAUUGUACUAUAGUGGUGAUUCAGCUGCUGGAGUGAAAGCAAACAUUAUUGCUGGAUAUUUCAUCUGUAUAUCAGUGUUCGGUGGUUUACUCUCUGUUAUCGGUGUACUUCUUGUACGCUUUGUUAUUGGUGAUGCAUGGAGUUGACAUAUACAAAUUUCAUAUAAAACGAAGAGUGUUUACUUUUUUUUUUAUUCAUGUUUAAUUUAAAUCAUAUAAAAUAUUCUCAGUAAAAAAUCUUUAAAUAUAUUGAGAAAUCAGCACGACAGAUUAUAUAUUUCAUACUAAAUCAUAUAUUUCAAAUAUUAAACAAUGAUAUAUUCUGAUCGAUGAACUCUACAGCCCCAACUUGAAUGCAGGAACUAAGAAAGGAGUAAAAUUAUGACAGAGAUAUUCCUGAACCACAUGUACCAUUCCUUACAUCCAAUUUAAUCAUCCGUGAAAGCAUUGGGUGAUGUUGCAUUUUGGUUUUACUUGAAUAUUCUUUAUCAUUAUCUCUGUAACUAGCAACAUAAAUGUUAAAAGAACAAAAUUGUUAAACACUUCCCUGGUUUUUCGAAAUGUUUCCUUAAAGACAGUUAUUUAUUUGAGUGUUAAAUAUUCAUCUCACUCAGUUUAACAGAAAUGAGACACCAGAUACACAAAAAUAGACUGUUACACAUUGAUAAAUGUUGCUAUACAUGUCAACACAAGAUUCUAGAUAAUGGUACAUAGAAGUGGCAAGCUGCGAGCUGGCAGAAACGUUAGCGCGCCGGGUGAAAUGCUUAGCGGUAUUUCGCCUGCCACUGCGUUCUGAGUUCAAAUUCCGCCGAGGUCGACUUUUCCUUUCAUCCUUUCGGGGUCGAUAAAUUAAGUACCAGUUACGCACUGGGGUCGAUAUAAUCGACUUAAUCCGUUUGUCUGUCCUUGUUUGUCCCCUCUGUGUGUAGCCCCUUGUGGGUAGUAAAGAAAUAGGUAUUUCGUCUGACGUUACAUUCUGAGUUCAAAUUCCGCCGAGGUCGACUUUGCCUUUCAUCCUUUCGAGGUCGAUAAAUAAAGUACCAGUUACGCACUGGGGUCGAUGUAAUCGACUUAAUCCCUUUGUCUGUCCUUGUUUCCCUCCCCACCCCAUGUUUAGCCCCUUGUGUGCAAUAAAGAAAUAAGAAGUGGCAAAAAUUGAAAACUACAUUCAAAUUUUGACCACAUAUGUGAAGGAAUAUUUCUUCUAGCUUUCAUUGAUAAAUAUUUUGGUUAGUAUUGGUUUAAAUACUUCUUGUCAUGUCAAACAAUGGGAAGUGAGAGUUCACAACAAACAUACGAAUGGCAUUUUGCAAACAAGAAAGUAAAUCUCCAACGCACUAAGGCUGUAGGGAUAACAGCAAAAAAGAUUGAAUAUCUUGCCCAUAUAAAACGGGAAAAAAAGAAAACGUUGCCAGUUGGCGGCUACUGCACGCGAACCCCUCAGAUACCAUCUAUGGACUGUACCCCUACGGUAAACGGCCCCCGAGUGACAGGCAGCGAUAGAUUUAAAGCUAAAUUACAGAUAUUCCAAUGCGAUAACAUUUUAUAAACAAACUUUGCAAGUGUUCGAUGUGGUUGGUAUUUUAUAAAAAUGAAAAUAAUGAUUUUUUUGUACUUCAAUGAUUUUAUUUCCAAUAUGCGCAUUGAAUUUGUCUGUCUUUAUAUUCUGGGUUUAAUUUCCGCCGAGGUCGACUUUGCCUUUCAUCCUUUCGGAGACGAUAAAUUAAGUACCAUUGGCAUAUUAGGGUCGAUCUCAUCGACUGGCCCCAUCCCGGAAAAAUUUCGGGCCUUGUGCCUAGAUUAGAAAAUAAUAUGCGUGUUGAAUUUUAGCAGGAGUGGCUGUGUGGUCAGAAGCUUGCUUCCAAACUACAUUGUUCCGGGUUCACUCCCACUGCGUGGCACUUUGGGCGAGUGUCUUCUGCUAUUGCUUCGGGCCGACCGAAGCCUUGUGAGUGGUUUUGGUAGACGGAAAUUGAAAGAAAUCCGUAGUAAAUAUUGUGUGUGUGUGUGGGGGGGGGUGUACUUGGGUGUCUGUAUUUGUCCGCCCACCAUCGCUACACAAUCGAUGUUGGUGUGUUUACCAUCCCGUUACUUAGCAGAUCGGCAAAAGAGACCGAUAGCAUCAGUAUUAGGCUGGAGUCAAUUUGUUCGACUAAAGGUGAUGAUCCAGCAUGGCUCCAGUCAAAUGAAUGAAACAAAUAAAAGAGUAAAAAAAAGUGAAAGAAUAUGUAAUUGUCUUUAGAACAAUAUCUGAAAGUAAUUUCCGUUAAUAAAAUUCCAUGUAACAAAA
Octopus bimaculoides (California two-spot octopus) is the source of this 3546-nucleotide unclassified non-coding RNA. The record is from RefSeq and is a predicted model, not a curated record. NCBI's taxonomy places the organism in Eukaryota, Metazoa, Mollusca, Cephalopoda, Octopoda, Octopodidae.